UCCUGACACAGGGAGGUAGUGACAAGAAAUAACAAUACAGGGCUAUUUUAGUCUUGUAAUUGGAAUGAGUACAAUUUACAUCUCUUCACGAGGAUCAAUUGGAGGGCAAGUCUGGUGCCAGCAGCCGCGGUAAUUCCAGCUCCAAUAGCGUAUAUUAAAGUUGUUGCAGUUAAAACGCUCGUAGUCGGAUUUCGGGGCGGGGCGACCGGUCUGCCGAUGGGUAUGCACUGGUCGGCGCGUCCUUCCUUCCGGAGACCGUGCCUACUCUUAACUGAGCGGGUACGGGAGACGGAUCGUUUACUUUGAAAAAAUCAGAGUGUUUCAAGCAGGCAACUCGCUUUGCAUGGAUUAGCAUGGGAUAAUGAAAUAGGACUUUGGUGCUAUUUUGUUGGUUUCGAACACCGAAGUAAUGAUUAAUAGGGACA
This 425-nucleotide ribosomal RNA is filed under the name Haptophyta environmental samples. RNAcentral describes it as "SSU rRNA". It matches the Rfam family "Eukaryotic small subunit ribosomal RNA", at positions 449 to 880 of the family's 1831-position model. The record is from RNAcentral. Lineage: Eukaryota; Haptophyta.